GACGAACGCUGGCGGCGUGCCUAAUACAUGCAAGUCGAACGAACUCUGGUAUUGAUUGGUGCUUGCAUCAUGAUUUACAUUUGAGUGAGUGGCGAACUGGUGAGUAACACGUGGGAAACCUGCCCAGAAGCGGGGGACAACACCUGGAAACAGAUGCUAAUACCGCAUAACAACUUGGACCGCAUGGUCCGAGCUUGAAAGAUGGCUUCGGCUAUCACUUUUGGAUGGUCCCACGGCGUAUUAGCUCGGUGGUGGGGUAAUGGCUCACCAUGGCAAUGAUACGUAGCCGACCUGAGAGGGUAAUCGGCCACAUUGGGACUGAGACACGGCCCAAACUCCUACGGGAGGCAGCAGUAGGGAAUCUUCCACAAUGGACGAAAGUCUGAUGGAGCAACGCCGCGUGAGUGAAGAAGGGUUUCGGCUCGUAAAACUCUGUUGUUAAAGAAGAACAUAUCUGAGAGUAACUGUUCAGGUAUUGACGGUAUUUAACCAGAAAGCCACGGCUAACUACGUGCCAGCCGCCGCAGUAA
This 530-nucleotide ribosomal RNA is filed under the name uncultured bacterium. RNAcentral describes it as "partial 16S ribosomal RNA". It matches the Rfam family "Bacterial small subunit ribosomal RNA", at positions 28 to 523 of the family's 1533-position model. The record is from RNAcentral.